GGGAUGCUGCUCAAAUUUCGCAAUUUUAUUUUUAGAUUUCAAAAUUCCAAAUACCUGGUAUUGCUUUUAAAUCUGCUGCCUUUCCAAUCCCAGCUGUGCUCUUGUAACAGUGCAUAAAGGCCAGCCCAGCAGAUGUUUAAGGAAACCACGUGACUAAUCAUGCCUAUACAUAUACUGUAAAUUCUUCAAGAAGAGUUAUAAGUCCCACAGUUCCUCUGGGGUAUUAGGAAAGUAUUUUAAUGUACAAAGAAAGCUGAUUAUAAUAUACUGUUUUUUAAUCAGUGAACAUAAAUUGCCAAAGGGUAAAACAAGAAAUUGAAGACAAAACUUCUGAAAUGAAAAUCCAACAUGCUGCUCAGUAUAGCACAUGACUCCUAAGUGAAAAUAGCCGAUAUUGUUGCAGUUCCAAUUUCUUUCAUUAUCUUCUGUACACCGCUUUUUUUUCUGCUGUGCAGUCAGUGACAUAGAAAAAGGGCUAACAGGCUAAAGAAACAGAGGUAAUAUUAUUAGUACGCAGUAGACUUUUAUUUUAAAGCCCACUUUCAGGCAGAAGUUAGCAUGCAGAAGUUCAUUUAGGGUUAGGGUUAGUUCAUUUGCAAAACCAGUUUAAGGGU
Non-coding RNA from Pseudonaja textilis, 614 nucleotides. NCBI's taxonomy places the organism in Eukaryota, Metazoa, Chordata, Lepidosauria, Squamata, Elapidae. The record is from RefSeq and is a predicted model, not a curated record.